CAACGGGCAAAGUUAACUACACGCUUAUUAGUUAAGUUUGCUAUGGGCGGCACGUAAAGAAACUUAUGUGCGUUUAUCUGUCAAACUCGGGGAAGCCAAUAGCGCGGUAAUCCCGAACCAAGCCUCAGAAAUGAGGAAGGUGUAGAGACUGGAAGGCAGACACCCUAACGAUAAUGACGAGGGUGAAGGGACAGUCCAGACCACAAACCAGUAUAACUGGGCAACGAAAGUUGUAGUUGGUAAG
This 244-nucleotide non-coding RNA is filed under the name Nostoc sp. 'Peltigera membranacea cyanobiont' N6. It matches the Rfam family "Group I catalytic intron". Rfam says of the family: Group I catalytic introns are large self-splicing ribozymes. They catalyse their own excision from mRNA, tRNA and rRNA precursors in a wide range of organisms. The record is from RNAcentral. Lineage: Bacteria; Bacillati; Cyanobacteriota; Cyanophyceae; Nostocales; Nostocaceae.